CUUUCUCUCUAGUUGGUUUUCAACUUCAGCCUUAUAGAUUUUAAAGUAGUCUAAAGCCUCAUCUUUAGUUUUUAGCAAGUAUACAUAGCAGAAUCUAGACGCAUCAUCAAUCAAUGUCAUGAAGUAUCUCUUGCCACCUUUUGUCAACACACCAUUCAUCUCACAAAGAUCAGAAUGUAUGAGUUCUAGAGGUGCCAGGUGUCUCUCCUCAGCAGCCUUAUGAGGCUUUCGAGGUUGCUUUGACUGCACAAAAUUAUGGCACUUAGAACCUUUGACUAUGGUGAUAUUCAAAAUUAAAAUCAUGGUGGAAGGCCGAGACAUAGAGCCAAAAUUUAUAUGAUACAAACGAGAAUGCCAGAUACUCACAAGAUCAUCAACAUUAGCGCAAAUAUGGUUCACUUAUUAUUGAAAUCUAACAGAGAAAAGCGGAACAAGCCUCCGCAAUCAUAGCCUUUACCAAUAAAUUGUCCAGACUUGGACACAACUAAUUUAUUGGACUCCAAAACUACCUUGAACCCAUCUCUACAUAGAAGGGUUCCGCUAACGAGAUUCUUGUGUAUAGAAGGGACAUGCUGCAUGUUCUUCAGUUGCACGAUCUUUCCCAAAGUAAACUUCAGAUCCACCGUGCCAGUGCCAUGAACAGAAGCAUGUGACCCAUUCCCCAUUAGGACGAAAGAAUCCUGGGCACCCUGAUAAGAAGAGAACAAAUUAAUGUUAGAACACACAUGAACAUUAGCACCAGUAUCAAGCCACCAACUAAGUGAUUGAAAUACUGAGAAGAUGUAACAUCCCAAUUUUCAACCCGAGGUUUGGAACCCUAAUCUAACCCCCCCUUCUUAUUACCUAUCCCGAAUCUCCCCUAGGUCUUCUCAUCAUAUGCAUACACUUUGUUUGAUUAUAAGCACCUCACUUAGAUUUUAUUUUCUAGCACCUAAGAUUAUCUAGUAAAUUAAUUGUUCAAAAGAAAAGGAUGUAAAAAUGGAAAUAGAAAUUGGAAAAUAAAAAGAAAAGGAGAAGCCUUUCUCUCCCCCUAGCUGGGUCGAUUCCAGCCCACGCCCGCGGCCGCUUUCCCCCUUCCUCGCUCGUGACUCCCCCCCUCGGCCCACCUCCGGCCCACUCCGUGCUUGCGCCCGCGCACCACUGACACGUUGUCCCCACUCGUCAGUCGCCUCCCCCUCGCCCUCACUCGAGACCACUCCCGCUGACAGGCUGACCCCACUAGUCAACCACCCCAUCGUCCUCACCGUGUACGGCUUCGCCGCGGUCACCUCCGACCACCGUCCUCUUCCUCGCCUCGUCCCCUCGCCCAUCCCCUCGCCGCACAGGGAAGUUUGGCACAGCCUCGUCCUCGUCGCUGUGGACGCGUCCUUGCACGGCACCGCCCCGCCGUGCGGUCUCGUCGUCGCCGCUGUGCGGCAUUAACUCCGGCGUUGUGCGACCUCACCGGCGUCCGCCUAGCUCCGCCGCUCCCCUCCCCUCGGGUGCCUAUAAAAGGGUCGCAUCGAGCACCCCUUUGCCCCGCACCGACCUCAGCCACCCAUCUCCCACUCGCCCGAGCUCAAUCGCGCUAGCGCCACCGUCUUCCUCCACUCCGGUAAGCCCUUCCCCCUCUUUUCCCUCCCCCUCUGGUGGUUCAGCGAGCAAUUAGCUAGGCUCAUCAAUUUUGCCACACCGCCGCGAGCUUGGAACACCACCCCCUACCCCAAUCCCCACGCGAACCUCACCGGCGACGACUCUCGCCGCGGAGCUCCGCCACCUCCCUGCGGUCAGCCCUCUCCCAACCUCCUCUGGCCAAAUUGGGCCCACCCCUAAGCUCGCCAGCCCCUCCUUGUGCUAGGGCGCCUGCCCGUUGCCCAAGAACUGGGUCGCCGGCGGCGAAUCGCCGUCGAGACCACCGACGGCCGGUUUUCUCCCUCGCGGACGGCCGGUUCGCCCCGCCCCGUCGACCGUUGGCGCCGUCUGCCCCUCCCGCUCUCUCUGACGCGUGGGCCCCAUGGAAACGGCGUCGCCCUCGUGCGCCCGCGCCGUUUUCCGCCAUGGGCUGUAGCUGGGCCGGCGCGAUCGCGCCCGUGCGCUCCCCUACGCCCGGCUGGGCCAGAUUCCCCCCCCCCCGGCCCACCAGAGCCUAAAUCCUUUUUCUUUUUCCUUUUUCAGCCUUUUUCUCCUUUAGUUAUUACAUCUCAAUAUUUUAUGCACCAAAAAUUAUCAAAACACUUUCUAAAGUCACAUGUAAUAAUAAUAUUAGAAAAUGACACACUCCACUUAGUAAACCACUAUUGAUGUAUUGUUUAUUGCCUGUUUUACUAGAAGAAGCGGGGACCGUCGAUCCGGAACCCGUAGCCCCGGAAGAAGGACCAGAGCCUAAUCUCCCGGAGGUAGACCUUUUGUGCCAGGAAAGCUUCGAUGAAGGCAAGUUCAUCCUUCCCUUGAUGCAUAAAUUACCUAUUCUUUCUACCACUACCUAGGCCAGGAUUACAAGGUGGAAUUAAUGCAUUGUGAGUAGAGAGAUAGCCCGCAUUAACAUAUAUCUUUUGGAUACAAAAUGUGGGAUGGGAGAAAGGGCAGUGUGUUUCUUCAAUCGAGAUUUUAAAAGAAAAAGAAGGAAUGUGCGAUGAAGGGUAUUCACCCUCGUCACCUUGUGAGUGGGAUGAUCAGGGACUCCCUGGUUUAGGGGAGGGCCUAAGGUGUUGGCUCAGCUGGUUUAGGCGUGAGCAGAAGGAUUGUCCCCUCAUAUAAGGACCGGUUUGUCAUCUUUCACUACUUGUACUCAUAAAUAGUACAACCACUCGAGACUGUGUGGGCAGUCACUCAAUCUGAACUCGUACGGUCCAACCCCAGGGUUAUGAAGGCUGGGGAGCACCGGGAGGAUAAGGAGGGGUAUUGUUUUGUCCGGUUUGGACAUGGAAGUGGCCUGACUCCUUCCGGUAUAAUUGUUAAGGUUAGGACGUGCGAGGAAGGAAAGAGAUUCGGCAUUCGGGUCUCACGACUAUGAGAUCGCAGAAACCGGACUAGUGGGUAAAGUGUACCCUUCUGCGCAGAGUUGAAACCUAUUCGAAUAGUCCGUGUCCACUGGUAUGGACGAGUCUGGUGUGGUAUGACAAUUAGAGUUUUUACAACCUCUGUGAAUAGGGAAAUGUGUGUGUAAGUGCGUAUUGAAAAAAUAAAACAAGGCCACGGGAGCGGGAAGCUCAGUGGUGGUUGAGUAUUGUGUUAUUUUUAUUUCCUUGGGAAAAACCCUACAUAAACUGCCUUUCUCUGAGAAAAAGAAGAGUGACUUCAACUCCACCAUAUAAAGCAUGUAUGUUAUAGGUCUCUUUCUCUUUACGGGAGUGGGAUGGGCUUGCAGAAUACCUAGUGUAUUCACCCAGAUUUAUUUAUGUUUUUCAGCAGCCGAAGACUUCUUUUCUGCUAUGCUUGAUUGAGAGGGCUGUGUCUGCACCCAGUUCUGCCUGUGGUUUGGGCUAGUGUACCUUCUACUGCGUUUUAUAUUCUAGCUCUCUCAGAGCUUGUACCCCGGUAUUAUAAUAACCUUUAUUUGAACUCUGUACUAUUUGAAGUAAGAAAUGUGGUUACUAGCCUCCUGGGACUAGUAAUUGUAUCACAUUUGAGUCCCAAAGGAUCGGGACGCUUCAGGUGGUAUCGGAGCCAUAGGACUGGCCGUAGGUCGUAGCCCUGACCUUAAAAGUUGCCUUAAAAUAAAAUACCUCUUACCCCAAGAAAAAUCUUCUUCCUUUCCCUCGAUAUUAACAGACCCUUCUUUUCCUAUUCCAGAUGGAAGACUCUCUGGUCAUUAGGACAUCCUACUGCUCAGAGGUGGAGGGGUUCCCACAUCUGUUGCGAAGUUGUGCGCUUCGCAUGGGGAUCCGCAAGAAACCAGAAUAUGUCUGGAAGGAGUAUCUCGAGAAUGGAAUGGAGAAAUGCUCUAUGGCAGUCUACCUGGGAGAAAGCCGAAACUACCCGAACCAUCCUUCUUUCCAUGUCACUUUCACCGGACACCGCUUCCCAGAUACUUGCCAGAACAUUGCCCGAAAAGCCCUCUGACAACUAUGCCAGAACUACAGCAGAGUAAUCUUUGAAACCCCCCUUCGCUACUUUCCACCCAGCAACAAAAAUACCCCCGCCUGGAGGAAAAGACUUCAGGCCCUGUCAGGGAGAGACCCUACCGAGGAUGACCCCACCAUCGUCUACAUGGCUGGAUACCUUCACACUCUCGAUAACCAAUAUGAUGACCUUGCCUCCCACUGCACUCACCUAAACUCCCGGGUGGAAAGCCUUGAGCAACAAGUCAGGGAACUUACAAGGGAAAAGGCGUCCCUUCAAGAGAGCCUCGGGAUAGCGGAAGGCGAGGAAACCAACACCCGUGAGGCCUACCGAACUCUGAAGAUGGAUUACGACAAGAAGCUAAAGAAGCUCGCCCCCGCAAGAAAAAUCCGCAAGAAGACCAGAAGCUAAGGAUGCCAAACUGAGCAGAAGGAAGAAGCCCCUCCAGCCCUACCUCCUACCAGAAUAGGGAACUCGUCCGACACCGAGGAAAUGUCCCUAGCCAGCCUUGAUGACCUUCUCAAGGAAUUUGGGGACACUUUAGAGAAGGAGUUCGGGAGUACCCUAGAUAGCACUCAUGUGUAAUGAACUUAUGGUAGUUGUAUGCUGUAAUGAACUUGUGUAAUGAAUAAAGUAACUUGUUGAAAAAAAAUUUGGCAUGUGCAUGGUAGUAACUCUUUUCCCCUAGCAGAUGGCUUCGGAUAAAACCACGCCUACCGCCUCCGGGAUUGGAGCAGGGUUUCCCCUAGGAGCAGAAGGAGAAGCUGGCGGAGAAGGGAGUGAGACCCACCUCCCCGCACCUCCGGAACUACCACUAGAUUUGGCCCAAGUUCUAGCCAAUCAAACCUGACUCAUUGAAGUCCUCACUAGAAGUCUGGAGAACCAGCGCCCAGGUGGUGGAAGACCACAGGACAGGAUGGGAGAAUUUCUGAGACUCAAGCCUCCCACGUUCGCUGGAUCCAGCAAUCCCCUCGAUGCCGACAACUGGCUGCGCACGAUCAAGAGGAAAUUGGAAGCCAUCGGAUGCCCCGAAAAUCAGCGUGUUCAAUUGGCUACUCGUCAACUUUCUAGGAUGGCCCUAGCAUGGUGGGAUACCUUCAGCGCGGCCGUCAGGGACACUACCUGGGCAGAAUUUGAAACUGCUUUCCGUGAGCACCAUGUACCCCAGGGGAUUGUUCAACUCAAGGAUGAUGAAUUCCGGGAACUAACUCAAGGUGGAAGAUCUGUCAGUGAGUACGUGCACAAAUUCACAGAGUUGGCUCGUUACGUGCCUGACGAUGUCAGCACCGAAACUAAGAAGAUGGCCCGUGUUCUGAAAGGGCUAAGACCAGAACUCAAGCCCAUCCUCGCCAGCCAAGAUUUUCUCAGCUUCUCGCACCUCUCCAACAAAGCCAUACAAGUGGAAAGGGCAAAAGAAGAAGAAAAAGGGCACCUCAAGAGGAAAUUCUAGGUUCUCCGAGCUCAGCAGCAAGACCGACACCAGAGAGCUCGAUCCUUCGGGCUUCCACCCAAGGGACCGAGCUUCAAUAGACCAGUUGGACCCACUUUGUCACGUUUCAGCCAGCAGAGUCAGAGUUCCUUUCAGGCCACCUUGGUUGCAAGCAACCAACCGCCAGCAAAUGCCUAUUGGCACUGCGGAGACCCCAGUCACUUCAAGAAUAACUGCCCCCAGUUGAAGGCACCCGGACCUACCUACUCCAACUCGGUGAAUGGCCCCAAGAAUACCUCGGCACCCGCCUCCAAGGCACUCCCCUCCAACAGUCAGCAGAGCAGGACCCAGUAUCAGGGCAGAGCACGAGUUAACCACGUCGAUGCUCAAGAGGCCCAGCAAGCCCCGGGAGUAGUGCUCGGUGAGUUCCUUGUCGAAUUUACUCCCGCUUUUGUACUUUUUGAUUCAGGAGCAUCCCAUUCAUUUAUAGCCACUAGUUUUGUGGAAAAACAUGGCAUCCCCUCUACACCCUUAGAAAUCCCUUUGGUCACUCGAACCCCGGGGUCAGACCUUCUAUGCCAGCUCAAAUGCUCCCAAGUCAGAAUUCUUUUAAGUGGGGUAGUGUUCUUGGCAGACUUAACCGUCUUGCCAUCCCAAGGGAUUGAUGUGAUCCUAGGAAUGGAUUGGCUAACUAAGCACAAGGGCAUCAUAAGUUGCGCAAACAAGACCGUCCUUCUCACUGACCGCCAAGGAAAAGCAGUUUCUUGUCAGGCCCAACCGCCCACCAACGAUCCAAUGAUGUUUAAUCUAACAAUAGAAAAUAUAUUCGUAAUAGAAGAAUUCAUGGAUGUAUUUUCGGAAGAGUUGCCUGGAAUGCCGCCUGAAAGAGGAGUGGAGUUCUAUAUAGAUCUCAUUCCUGGCACUGUGCCCAUCGCAAAGAGACCAUACCGCAUGGCCCCCACAGAGUUAGCAGAAUUAAAACUCCAGAUUGCAGAGCUACAAUAAAAAGGGUACAUCCGUCCCAGUUCGUCUCACUGGGGAGCACCCAUCCUUUUCGUCACCAAAAAGGAUGGGAGUAUGAGAAUGUGUAUUGAUUACCGAUCAUUAAAUGAAGUUACAAUCAAAAAUAAGUAUCCACUCCCUCGGAUCGACGAUCUCUUCGACCAGCUACAGGGAGCCAAAUAUUUCUCCAAGAUAGACCUAAGGUCAGGAUAUCACCAACUGAGAAUCAAGGAAGCAGAUAUACAGAAGACUGCAUUCGUCACCAGAUACGGACAAUAUGAGUUCACAGUAAUGCCAUUUGGGCUAACGAACGCACCCGCCUUUUUCAUGAACCUCAUGAAUAAGAUAUUCAUGGAAGAAUUGGAUAAGUUUGUCGUAGUCUUCAUCGACGACAUCCUUAUCUAUUCCAAGAAUCGCAAGGACCAUGAGUGUCACCUUCGAAUCGUCCUCGGAAGACUCAGGGCACAUCAACUCUAUGCUAAACUCAGCAAGUGUGAAUUCUGGUUAGAAAAGAUAUCCUUCCUUGGGCAUAUCUUGACUGCAGAAGGAAUAGAAGUAGACCCAUCCAAGGUAGAAGCAGUUUCAAAAUGGAAGCAGCCAUCCAACGUCAGUGAAAUGCGAAGCUUUCUGGGAAUGGCAGGGUAUUACCGCCGCUUUAUCAAGGGAUUCUCCAGCAUAGCAAGACCUAUGACCAAACUUCUCAAGAAGGACAAUAAGUUUGUGUGGACCCCAAAGUGUGAGGAAAGUUUCCAGAUCAUAAAGGAAAAGCUCACGACCGCGCCAGUUUUGACACUACCAGAUAUACACCAAGAUUUUGUCAUCUUCUGUGAUGCUUCAAGGCAAGGCUUAGGGUGUGUCCUGAUGCAAAAUGAGAAAGUUAUUGCUUAUGCAUCCCGCUUACUCAAGCCGCAUGAGCAGAAUUACCCCACCCACGAUUUGGAAUUGGCAGCCAUAGUGCAUGCCCUAAAAAUAUGGAGGCACUAUCUAAUUGGGAACAAAUGCCACAUCUUCACUGAUCACAAGAGUCUGAAGUAUAUCUUCACUCAGCCAGACCUCAACCUCCGUCAAAGAAGAUGGCUUGAACUGAUCAAAGAUUAUGACCUCAAGAUCCAUUACCACCCCGAAAAGGCCAACGUGGUAGCAGACGCCCUCAGCCAAAAACCUUUCGGCAUAAAGGGAACCAACUUUUUAGAAGAUUGGAAGAAGGAAUCAGCUCAGCUGAAUGCGUGUCUGGGAGACAACAGUAGCCUAGAAGUCAAGUCAAUGCUAGAAGACCUCAUAUGCAAGGCUCAACGCCUGGACACGGAGACAUCAAGGCUUAUGGAAAAAGCUCGCAAAGAGCAACUUCUGGACCUUAGGACAGAUGAACAAGGAGUCAUUUGGUUCAAGAACCGUCUGUGUGUACCAAAGGGAAAGGCACGGGAAGUCCUGCUCAAUGAAGCUCACAACUCAGCCUACUCCAUCCACCCAGAAACCACCAAGAUGUACCUAGACCUCAAAACCAGAUACUGGUGGAGAGGGAUGAAAAAAGAGAUAGCAUAGUAUGUGGCCCGGUGUGACACCUGCCAACGAACAAAGGCCGAACACCAGAAACCUGCAGGCCUACUGCAACCCCUCCCAGUGCCUGAAUGGAAGUGGGAGGAAAUAGGCAUGGAUUUUGUAACCGGACUGCCCGAACGCAAAAAAGGGAUGACUCUAUCUGGGUAAUAAUAUACCGUCUCACCAAGGUGGCCCACUUCAUUCCAGUGAAAACCACUUUUGGAGGAGCCACCCUUGCCCGGAUAUAUCUUAAAGAGAUAGUCAGGCUCCAUGGUAUUCCUCAGAAGAUAGUGUCAGAUAGAGGGACGCAGUUCACCUCAAAAUUUUGGAAGAGCCUUUAGCAAGCUAUGGGCACCAAGUUAGAUUUCAGCACCGCCUAUCACCCUCAAUCAGAUGGUCAAACGGAAAGGGUCAACAAGGUCCUCGAAGAUUUACUAAGAGCCUAUGUGUUGACGUUUGAUAGAAAUUGGGAGUCUAGUUUGCCGUAUGCCGAAUUCUCAUAUAACAACAGCCAUCAGGCCAGUAUCAAGAUGUCACUGUUUGAAGCAUUGUAUGGACGAAAGUGCCAGACCCCCUAAUGUGGUCCAAUGUAGGGGAAAGGACACUGGAAGGACCCGACUUUGUUAAAGAGGUCGAAGAGAAAGUUGCCCUGAUCCGCAAGAGGUUACUUGAAGCUCAGAGUCGACAGAAAAGUUAUGCAGACAACAGACGGAGGGAACUCAGAUUUGAGGAAGGAGACUUCGUAUACCUCAAGGUCUCCCUGAUGCGUGGGGUCAAAAGGUUCCAAAUGAAAGGAAAGCUAGCACCGCAUUUUGUUGGCCCCUAUCCCAUCAUUAGCAGAGUGGGACCCGCAGCAUACCGCCUUGAACUACCAGAGUCCAUGUCGGAUAUUCACAAUGUGUUUCAUGUGUCCCAGCUCCGUAAGUUCCUGCAAGUACCAGAGAACCACAUCGAGGCAGAGACAAUUCAGAUUCAAAAAGAUCUCCAGUACCGGGAAAAGCCAAUAAAGAUUCUUGACUCAGGGGUCCGAAAGACCCGCAACUCAGAAGUAAGACUCUAUAAGGUUCAGUGGAGCAAAGAAGGAGAAGAGGAAGCUACCUGGGAAAGUGAGGACUCUCUGAGGAGGUAAUACCCUUACCUUUUCUCGAGCCCCGUCUGAAUCUCGAGGGCGAGAUUCCUUUAAGUGGGGUAGGUUUGUAACAUCCCAAUUUUCAACCCGAGGUUUGGAACCCUAAUCUAACCCCCCCCCCUUCUUAUUACCUAUCCCGAAUCUCCCCUAGGUCUUCUCAUCAUAUGCAUACACUUUGUUUGAUUAUAAGCACCUCACUUAGAUUUUAUUUUCUAGCACCUAAGAUUAUCUAGUAAAUUAAUUGUUCAAAAGAAAAGGAUGUAAAAAUGGAAAUAGAAAUUAGAAAAUAAAAAGAAAAGGAGAAGCCUUUCUCUCCCCCUAGCUGGGCCGAUUCCAGCCCACGCCCGUGGCCGCUUUCCCCCUUCCGCGCUCGCGACUCCCCCCCCCCCCCCUCGGCCCACCUCCGGCCCACUCCGCGCUCGCGCCCGCGCACCACUGACACGUCGUCCCCACUCGUUAGUCGCCUCCCCCUCGCCCUCGCUCGCGACCGCUCCCGCUGACAGGCUGGCCCCACCAGUCAGCCACCCCAUCGUCCUCGCCGCGGUCACCUCCGACCACCAUCCUCUUCCUCGCACCGUCCCCUCGCCCAUCCCCUCGCCGCACAGGGAAGUUUGGCACCGCCCCGUCCUCGCCGCUGUGGCCGCGUCCUUAGACGGCACCACCCCGCCGUGCGGUCUCGUCGUCGCCGUUGUGCGGCAUUAACUCCGGCGCUGUGCAACCUCACCGGCUUCCGCCUAGCUCCGCCGCUCCCCUCCCCUCGGGCGCCUAUAAAAGGGUCGCCCCGAGCACCCCUUUGCCCCGCACCGGCCUCAGCCACCCAUCUCCCACUCGCCCGAGCUCAAUCGCGCUAGCGCCGCUGGCUUCCUCCACUCUGGUAAGCCCUUCCCCCACUUUUCCCUCCCCCUCUAGUGGUUCAGCGAGCAAUUAGCUAGGCCCAUCAAUUUUUCCACACCGCCACGAGGUUGGAACACCACCCCCUACCCCAAUCCCCGCGCGAACCUCACCGGCGACGACUCCCGCCGUGGAGCUCCGCCACCUUCCCGCGGUCAGCCCUCUCCUAGCCUCCUCUGGCCAAAUUGAGCCCGCCCCUAAGCUCGCCAGCCCCUUCUCGUGCUAGGGCGCCUGCCCGUUGCCCAAGAACCGGGUCGCCGGCGGUGAAUCGCCGUCGAGCCCACCGACGGCCGAUUUUCUCCCCCGCGGACGGCCGGUUCGCCCCGCCCCGUCGACCGUUAGCGCCGUCUCCCCCUCCCGCUCUCUCUGACGCGUGGGCCCUGCGGAAACGGCGUCACCCCUCGCGCGCCCGUGCCGUUUUCAGACCCCCCCCUCUGGCCCACUAGAGCCUAAAUCCUUUUUCUUUUUCCUUUUUCAGCCUUUUUCUCCUUUAGUUAUUACAUCUCAAUAUUUUAUGCACCAAAAAUUAUCAAAAUGCUUUCUAAAGUCACAUGUAAUGAUAAUAUUAGAAAAUGACACACUCCACUUAGUAAACCACUAUUGAUGUAUUGUUUAUUGCCUGUUUUACUAUAAGAAGCGGGGACCGUCGAUCCGGAACCUGUAGCCCCGGAAGAAGGACCGAAGCCCGAUCUCCUGGAGCUAGACCUUUUGUGCCAGGAAAGCUUCGACGAAGGCAAGUCCAUCCUUCCCUUGAUGCAUAAAUUACCUAUUAUUUCUACCACUACCUAGGCCGGGAUUACAGGGUGGAAUAAAUGCAUUGUGAGUAGAGAGAUAGCCCGCAUUAACAUAUAUCUUUUGGAUACAAAAUGUGGGAUGGGAGAAAGGGCAGUGUGUUUCUUCAAUCAAGAUUAUAAAAGAAAAAGAAGGAAUGUGCGAUGAAGGGUAUUCACCCUCGUCACCUUGUGAGUGGGAUGAUCAGGGACUCCCUGGUUUAGGGGAGGGCCUAAGGUGUUGGCUCAGCUGGUUUAGGCGUGAGCAGAAGGAUUGUCCCCUCAUAUAAGGACCGGUUUGUCAUCUUUCACUACCUGUACUCAUAAAUAGUACAACCACUCGAGACUGUGUGGGCAGUCACUCAAUCCGAACUCGUACGGUCCAACCCCAUGGUUAUGAAGGCUGGGGAGCACCGGGAGGAUAAGGAGGGGGAAUGUUUUGUCUGGUUUGGACAUGGUGGUGGCCUGACUCCUUCUGGUAUAAUCGUUAAGGUUAGGACGUGCGAGGAAGGAAAGAGAUUCGGCAUUCGGGUCUCACGAUGGUGAGAUCGCAGAAACUGGACUAGUGGGUAAAGUGUACCCCUCUGCGCAGAGUUGAAACUUAUUCGAAUAGUCUGUGUCCACUGGUUUGGACGAGUCUGGUGUGGUAUGACAAUUAGAGUUUUUACAACCUUCGUGAACAGGGAAAUGUGUGUGUAAGUGUGUAUUGAAAAAAUAAAACAAGGCCACGGGAGCGGGAAGCUCAGUGGUGGUUGAGUAUUGUGUUAUUUUUAUUUCCUUGGGAAAAACCCUACAUAAACUGCCUUUCUCUGAGAAAAAGAAGAGUGACUUCAACUCCACCAUAUAAAGCAUGUAUGUUAUAGGUCUCUUUCUCUUUACGGGAGCGGGAUGGGCUUGCGGAAUACCUAGUGUAUUCACCCAGAUUUAUUUAUGUUUUUCAGCAGCCGAAGACUUCUUUUCUGCUAUGCUUGAUUGAGAGGGCUGUGUCUGCACCCAGUUCUGCCUGUGGUUUGGGCUAGUGUACCUUCUACUGCGCUUUAUAUUCUGGCUCUCUCAGAGCUUGUACCUCGGUAUUGUAAUAACCUUUAUUUGAACUCUGUACUAUUUGAAGUAAGAAAUGUGGUUACUAGCCUCCUGAGACUAGUAAUUGUAUCACAUUUGAGUCCCAAAGGAUCGGGACGCUUCAGAAGAUGAAAGGUAAAUUAACAUACCCUUUGCCUUCCUCAUUGCUAGAGAUCACUGUGUUGACAUUGCCCUUUUUGCCACGGCAAUCCGCUCGAUCAGGACAAUCCUUGGCAAAAUGACUCAUCUUGCCACAUGUGAAACAUGUCAGUUUAGCCUUGUUCUUCUUCUUCUUGAAGUUGGUAGUUUUGUUGGGCUUGCUAGAUUUUGUCUUUCCUUUGACCUUGUGGUUCUUUUGAACCAUGUUGGCGCUGGAGUGGCCCUCGCCUCCUUUAGAUCUCGUGUCCUUAGCCCGAGCUUUCUCCUCAACAUCUAGAGACGCUAUCAGAUUUUUAAUUGAUAUCUCCUGUCUCUUAUGUUUCAGAGAUGUGGCGAAGUUCCUCCAUGUAGAAGGCAACUUUGCAAUAAUGCAUCCAGCCACAAAUCGGUCGGGAAGGACUAUCUUAAGGUGGUCGAGCUCCUUGGCUAUACAUUGUAUUUCAUGAGCUUGUUCUACAAUAGAGCGAUGAUCAACCAUCUUAUAAUCAUGAAAGCUCUCCAUGAUAUACAAGUCACUGCCAGCAUCUGAUGCACCAAACUUAGUAGUAAGUGCAUCCCACAACUCUUUCUCGUCUGUGUGGGCGCUAAGAACUGCUCCCGUAAAGAUAGCAUUGGCAUGGUCGUACUCUUUCUCCUGUUCAGGAGUCAGUCCGCCCUCAGGUUUGCCUUUACUAAUAUGGAACACAUUCAUAGCAGUAAGCCAGAGCGUGGCCUUGACUUGCCACCUCUUGAAGUGCAUACCAUUGAAUUUUUCUGGCUUCAGCGCGUCGGUAAAAGCAGCCAUAGAAAAACUAGGAAAUUGUCUACACUAAGGUUUUUGGGUUGAUACAAUAUUAGACAAUUUCUAGAUUAAAUUCCGAAUAUAAAUCAUGACUAAAUCAGAAGAACUGAAGUAUAAAGUCAAAACAGAUGAUGCGUACUAAUCAGACAUACCGAUAGAUGGCGCGGGCCAGAAUCAGCAGGGUUGACGACAUCGAACAGCGGGGCCGAUGACGUCUACGCAGCAGGGUUCGACUAGAAGAUCGCGAGCAGUCGCGUGAGGACGCUUCCCAAAAACCUGAUUCGCCCUCUCCCAGUGCAGGAUCUCGAAGGCGAAGGGUUCCGGAGACAUGCUCUCCCAAUCGCAGAUGCACGUCGGCGGUCAGGACGAAGAGAACUACGAAGGCGGCGCAGUUGUGAACAGAGGCGAAAGCGAAAACUGGGAUGAGUUGGAUGCUGACUGCCAUGUGCCUUAUAUAGGGCCGAGUCUGCGAACCGAUAGCUAUCUGCAAUCCGAUCUGCACGCGAAAAUCUCGCGUUCCGUUUAGAUCUUUAUAGCGAUCGGUUAGGAUUUUAAACUUCAUAGCUAAGCAACCAAAAAAUAAAACGGCAAAAGAAAGCCGUGCCCUCGCAAGGCGAGGUGCCAGAUUUUGGCGGACCAUUCACUGAAAGGGCAUACUGUAUAGCAACUCCGUCUAUAUUGUUUUAACGUAGCACUAUAGCCGGUCUCAAGCCCCCCUAAAAGAUGAGAUUUUUUAAUAGGUUUGUUGAGGCAAUGUUAAACUUAGCCAUUUUAUCAGAGAUGAAAUCCGUAAGAGAUCCAUUGAUGCAUAAUUAACCCUUUCAGUAAUGCAUCAUAUAACGGAAUCUAGGUACGGUGUUAAAUGGAUAAGGGUCAGGUCAGCAUCCCUUAAUGACAUGUGACGUCACAACCUCGCUAUGGUGUCAAGUGAGCGAGGAUCAGAUCACUAGUUCCUUAGUACCGCAUCGCAUCGAUACCCGGAUACAGUGGAAAAUAUGCAAGGGGCUUCACAUCACUACCAGAUGUGAAGGGUAUGGAAGCUACUCGAACCAACUAGGAUCCAUUUAGAUAGUUGGAAUGUAGGGCCGCUUACGUAUGAGUUAAGAGAGUUUGUUGAGAUAGCAACUAGGAGACGUGUAAAUGUUUUGAGUGCAGGAGACUAAAUGAAAUAGCCAGAAGGCGAAGUAGAUAAACAAUACUGGAUUCAAGCUUUGGUACACAUGGACAACUGCGAAUAGAACUCAUGCGUUGCGACGAUAUACCAAUCAUAUUUCAUACCAAUCAUGUUUUGAGGUGGUUCAUGAAGGAUAUGGGUAUAGUAGUAAAAAUUAGGAGGGAGAGAGUCUUGGACUUUCUGGUAACUUUUGACCUAUUGAUAUCCAACACUUUCUUUAGGAAGAUAGACUCCUAGUUACUUAUAAUAGUGCUCAAAACUAGCCAAAUUGACUUUGUCCUCACAAGGAUAAAGAAUAAACGAGUACGUUUAGAUUAUAAAGUGAGUUGUCUCUCAACGUAAGUUUGUGGUGGCGUAUUUUAUUUUAGCCCGUAGGGAUAAAACAAGGCAAGAUUGUAAGAAUAAAGUUAUGGAAACUGAAAGGGGAGAAGACAAAAGUCUUCGAGUAAAUAACCAUCAAAGAGGGUACUUGAAAGGAAGAGGAUACACAGAAAAACAUGUAAAAGAAGAUGACAAACUAUAUUCACGAGGUAGCCUUAGAGAUAAACUAUAUUCACGAGGUAGCCUUAGAGAUGUGUGGAGUAACUAAAGGGAGUGGAGGAAGCUAAAGAAACUUGGUGAUGGAAUAAAGACAGUUUAUUGUGUUAUUAAGGAGAAUAAAAUGCUAUAGAUGUUUGUAUCAUGACAAGGGUGUGCAACAUAGAAGUACAAGGUAGUAAAAAAACUGCAAAACGAGAUGUAAGUGUGCACCGGAUCCAGUUGGAUGACUCUUUGGCUUUGUGCACAGGAUCCAAAAAAUCUAGGUAUUAAAAGAGAUGAAAUAGGUUAAGAUGAGGGACCCUAAUGGUAUUCCAAUUGAGAUAUGACAUGCUGUAGUUAUCUUCUGACUCAAGAACAAGAUAUCUAACUAGUGGAGAAAUGCCGAUCUAAAAAAUAAGUGAGAUAUUUUAAGUAAAAUGCAGUAACUUGGUAUGUCCGUCCAUACAAAACCGUCCUUCCUGCAACGAUCAACUUGACAUGUCGAAUCUCGAAAUUGAUUCAUGUGUGCUCACAAAUUGGAUUCAUCGCCUCACCAUAACAGACAGAAGGCUCACAAAUUUGGAGCCACAUACUCGUACAGCAUAACAUAUAUAUAUAUAGGCAUAUUCGAUUUCAUAAGCAAGAUAAGAUAUUACAACUCCAAACAAGAUAUUACAACUACAAACACAUCCUUUCCGAUGGCCAAAUUUAUAACACUAACAAGAAGCAAAUUUAUAACACUGACAAGAAGAGCAAACCAUGACAAGGAUGAUUUAUGAAUAGAUAUACCAAUACGAGAUAGACAGCGGCACGACGACAGAAAUUGGCUCUCUCCCGCCGGCUGAGGCUCAGAUUCUCAGAACCCGAUGGGCUGCAUCGGGGGGAAGGACGGCUGCCAGGGGCGGAGCAUGGGGUCGUCGGUGACCAUCUCCGGGAUGUCGACGGCGGCGCCGGCCAUCUGGAGCACCUCGAGGACGCCGCCCAGCGACUGCAGGCGGCCGGCCAGCUCGGCGUGGCGGGCGCGCAGCACCGCGUUGUCGCCGUCCACCCUGCCCAGGUCGCGCUCCAGCGCCGCGGUGCGGGCCUGCGUCGCCGCGUUCUCCGCCUGCAGGCGGGCCACCUCCGCCACCAGCUCCUCCAGCCGCUGCUGCUUCCGCGCGCGCGACCGCCGCGCCGACUCCCUGUUGGACAGCAUCCGCUUCCGCUUGCGCUCGUCCGUCGUGUCGUUGCUGUCGGGGCUCGAGCUCCGGCGUGACGACGACAUGGAUGCUUGUCUUGUCGGAUUGAAUCUGUUUGGUGGGGGGUGGGGUGGGGGGAGGAUGGGGAGAAACAGGAGCCCUAGAGAUGGAUUCGAAAGACUAUCUCAGAGAGAAAGAGAGAGGGAGAGACGGCGAAGGAUCAGCAGUUGGAGAGGGGCGAUGCGUUCAUGAGAAGACGUAGAACCAGUAGAGGAAGGCGACGGAGAAGGAGUGGGAGCGGCGGAUACGGAGCACGCUCAGCUUCAUCGGAGCACGGCGGCCGUCAGAGGAACUGGUGGGUAAACAUGGGGGUGGGGACGGUGUGCUCCUCGGACGGACGGAUCUACGCGGGGACAGGAGGAGGGACCGGGGAACAAGAAUUCGAGGAAACCAGAGGGGCCGGCUGCAAGAGUUCCUUGAGGGAAAGAAGAGUACUGGACUUGGACGGCUCGCAGAUCGAAAGAAACAAGAAAAAAGAGAGGAGCUGCGAGGACCUGAAUGUAAGAAAAAGAGAGGGGGCAGGGACUUAGCUGAAAGAGAGGAGGAUGGCAAAGGAGAGACACUCCUUAUCUUUUAUCCGGAGAUGGGGAAGG
RNAcentral lists this long non-coding RNA (16327 nucleotides) under Zea mays. RNAcentral's name for it is "long non-coding RNA (ZMAY_LNC003624)". The record is from RNAcentral. Lineage: Eukaryota; Viridiplantae; Streptophyta; Magnoliopsida; Poales; Poaceae.